ACCAUCCUUUUCCUGGGGUUGCGCUACUACUGUCCAAUGAGUGCCUAGUGAGAGCAGUACAGCUAACUCCUGCACAACACACCAAAAUUAGCUAGAGCUUUACUUUACCUUGGUGCAGUUUUUGGAAAA
Molecule: small nuclear RNA, 129 nt
Organism: Saimiri boliviensis boliviensis (Bolivian squirrel monkey)
Lineage: Eukaryota; Metazoa; Chordata; Mammalia; Primates; Cebidae
Source: Ensembl